GACUGGCUGGCUCAGUGGGUAGAGCACGCGACUCUUAAUCUCGAGGUCACAAGUUCAAGCCCCAUGUUGGCCA
RNAcentral lists this transfer RNA (73 nucleotides) under Felis catus (domestic cat). It matches the Rfam family "tRNA". Rfam says of the family: Transfer RNA (tRNA) molecules are approximately 80 nucleotides in length. Their secondary structure includes four short double-helical elements and three loops (D, anti-codon, and T loops). Lineage: Eukaryota; Metazoa; Chordata; Mammalia; Carnivora; Felidae. The record is from Rfam by way of RNAcentral.